RNAcentral lists this transfer RNA (76 nucleotides) under Oscillospiraceae bacterium. Its description in RNAcentral is "tRNA-Thr". It matches the Rfam family "tRNA". Rfam says of the family: Transfer RNA (tRNA) molecules are approximately 80 nucleotides in length. Lineage: Bacteria; Bacillati; Bacillota; Clostridia; Eubacteriales; Oscillospiraceae. The record is from RNAcentral.
GCUGCUGUAGCUCAGGUGGUAGAGCACGUCAUUGGUAAUGACGAGGUCGGCAGUUCGAGUCUGCCCAGCAGCUCCA